UGGGGAAUAUUGCGCAAUGGGCGAAAGCCUGACGCAGCGACGCCUCGUGAGGGAUGAAGGUCUUCGGAUCGUAAACCUCUGUCAAGAGGGAAGAAACCCUUGGGUUCAAAUAGGGCCCUUGGCUGACGGUACCUCAAAAGGAAGCACCGGCUAACUCUGUGCCAGCAGUCGCGGUAAGACAGAGGAGGCAAGCGUUGUUCGGAAUCACUGGGCUUAAAGGGUGCGCAGGCGGUUUUGUAAGCCAGAUGUGAAAUCCCCGGGCUUAACCUGGGAACUGCAUCUCAUACUGGGAGGCUAGAGUACUGGAGAGGGUGGUAGAAUACCACGUGUAGCGGUGAAAUGCGUAGAGAUGUGGAGGAAUACCAGUGGCGAAGGCGGCCACCUGGACAGUAACUGACGCUGAGGCGCGAAAGUGUGGGGAGCAAACA
RNAcentral lists this ribosomal RNA (428 nucleotides) under uncultured prokaryote. Its description in RNAcentral is "bacterial SSU rRNA". It matches the Rfam family "Bacterial small subunit ribosomal RNA", at positions 355 to 774 of the family's 1533-position model. The record is from RNAcentral.